Non-coding RNA from Triticum aestivum (bread wheat), 141 nucleotides. Lineage: Eukaryota; Viridiplantae; Streptophyta; Magnoliopsida; Poales; Poaceae. The record is from Rfam.
UGGUUAUUACCUCCAUUCCAAAUUAGUUGUCUUAGAUUUGUCUAGAUACGGAUGUACCUAACACUAAAAUGUGUCUUACUCUAGAUACAUCUGUAUCUAGACAAAUCUAAGAUAACUAAUUCGGGACGGAGGGAGUAGUGA